Molecule: ribosomal RNA, 845 nt
Filed under: uncultured Bacteroidota bacterium
Lineage: Bacteria; Pseudomonadati; Bacteroidota
Description: bacterial SSU rRNA
Rfam family: Bacterial small subunit ribosomal RNA
Source: RNAcentral
CUCGAACGAGAAUCUACUGAAAGAGUUUUCGGACAAUGGAUGUAGAGGAAAGUGGCGGACGGGUGAGUAACGCGUGAGGAACCUGCCUUGAAGAGGGGGACAACAGUUGGAAACGACUGCUAAUACCGCAUGACGCAUAGAGGUCGCAUGAUCUUUAUGCCAAAGAUUUAUCGCUUCAAGAUGGCCUCGCGUCUGAUUAGCUGGUUGGCGGGGUAACGGCCCACCAAGGCGACGAUCAGUAGCCGGACUGAGAGGUUGAACGGCCACAUUGGGACUGAGAUACGGCCCAGACUCCUACGGGAGGCAGCAGUGGGGAAUAUUGGGCAAUGGGCGCAAGCCUGACCCAGCAACGCCGCGUGAAGGAAGAAGGCUUUCGGGUUGUAAACUUCUUUUAAGAGGGAAGAGCAGAAGACGGUACCUCUAGAAUAAGCCACGGCUAACUACGUGCCAGCAGCCGCGGUAAUACGUAGGUGGCAAGCGUUGUCCGGAUUUACUGGGUGUAAAGGGCGUGCAGCCGGGUCUGCAAGUCAGAUGUGAAAUCCAUGGGCUCAACCAAUGAACUGCAUUUGAAACUGUAGAUCUUGAGUGUCGGAGGGGCAAUCGGAAUUCCUAGUGUAGCGGUGAAAUGCGUAGAUAUUAGGAGGAACACCAGUGGCGAAGGCGGAUUGCUGGACGAUAACUGACGGUGAGGCGCGAAAGUGUGGGGAGCAAACAGGAUUAGAUACCCUGGUAGUCCACACUGUAAACGAUGAAUACUAGGUGUGCGGGGACUGACCCCCUGCGUGCCGCAGCAAACACAAUAAGUAUUCCACCUGGGGAGUACGAUCGCAAGGUUGCAACUCAAA